RNA transcript from Telopea speciosissima, 1652 nucleotides. RefSeq lists it as uncharacterized. The transcript is spliced from 5 exons. Lineage: Eukaryota; Viridiplantae; Streptophyta; Magnoliopsida; Proteales; Proteaceae. The record is from RefSeq and is a predicted model, not a curated record.
GGAUUAAUUAAUUAACCGCAUUGUUCUUUAGACGAUAGUUGAAUUCCACACACUGUUCUGUUGCUUAGCUAGCUACAUUACUGGAAAACUUUUCUUAUUAAUUCUUGACAUGCAGUUUGAAACUUGCAGUCUCUCGCUUUUUCGUUGAUUAUUUUCCUUUUUCUUUUUUUUUCAUCUGGGUUUAAUUUGGAUUUUAUUGGCAGCUUGUGUAAUAGCAAGCUCGGUUUUUUCAGUUGGAAGCUGAAGGGAUCGAGUGUUCUGUAAAGAAAAGCGGGAUUUUAGCUUCGCAAACAGUAUACGUUCUUGCAGGUGCUAAUAUGGCGCCCAUGUGGGCUAACAAAAGGAGGAGAGGGUCAUGGAGUGAUUAUGAGUAUGAUCUGUGUAUGUCAACGAGCCGGAAAAGAAGACGCUUUAGCAUGUAUGACAGUUCCAGUCCUUCUUGUUAUAGUAAAGAAGAUGUCUUGGGUGAUGCUAAAAGAGACUUAGUUCCUGAUGCUGAUUACUCACUAUUCCUGAAACUUUUAAAUGUGGAUGAUGAAUCAGACGGUGAGGAGAACAAUGAUAUUGAUCCUGAUUACAAGAUAUUUUUGGAUCAUUUGAAAGCAGAUGAGAAAUCAUAUAUUUAUUUGAUGGAGAAAGAGGUUGGGAAGUCCAUCAGUAUUAAGUAUGAGACGUGGGAUGAGUCGUUAAAUGAGAUGGAGAAAGGGCGAAUUCCAGCUCUCAAUAUUUCAAUCCAAAAGAAAAAUGGUUCCAUGCCAAAUGAAGAUUACCGUCCAUUCUCUCCUGAUAACAAACAUGAUAUGGAAUCUUAUCCAUUGGAUGAAAGUUAUGAAAUAUUCCUCAGUAAACUUAGAAAUAAUGGGAAAUCUAUGAUUCUGGAGUAUGGCGAUGAUGUGGUGAUAUAUGAUAGUGAUGGCAAAGGUGGAACCGAUUCAGAAGUAGAACCAGAAUAUUCUCCAUAUAGCGGCCGAAGACAGAAGUUCCGCCGAUCUCUCUCGCCUGAUUCUCUCAAUUCAUCUAUGGAUGAAGAUGACUGUAGUUGCAUUGAGAGUCUCAGUGGUAGUAAUAUUUCUCAGUAUCGAGAGAGGCUUAUGCGUUUACUUCGGAUGCCCUAUAGCCUUCAGGAGUAUAUGGAACUCAAAUAUUUAGUAUGUACUAACAAGCGGUUGGUAAAAACAAGAGAUCUGCGGGGUCGUUUGGUAUCAUACCAAACAGAUGAGACUAGCCUUUCCUAUUUCGAUUACUAUGAUGACUUUAAGCAAGCGUUCUAUUCUGUUCAACAUCCACAUCGCCGUAAAAUACGUUUGAACCUCUUGCGUGGGUUUUUCUAUCACCUUCAGAAAAAAAAAUGAUAGGGAAACACUACUAUAAUGAAAAAGGAGCAUGAUACGUACUGUGUUGAAUUAGCGAAUGCCAAAAGAACUUGUCACAUGAAGGAUCAUUUAAACCAUGGUUGGACAGCGAUUGUUUGAAGAUAAAAGCCUGGGAGUAAAUAGACCAAACCCUCAUGUUUGCGUUGCAUCUACUGGAAAUUAUAUGGGAAUCGUAGACUUCCACCAAUGGAGAUUCCUCUUGCUUAUCAGUACAAUAGAGGCACCUGAAGCAAAUCUUGCGGAUAUGCUGUUUGCCCCACCUGUUGCUCUCUGUCAUUA